CGGAUCCGCGCCGCUGCAGAGUUUGAUCCUGGCUCAGGAUGAACGCUAGCGGCAGGCUUAACACAUGCAAGUCGAGGGGCAGCGCGUCGGGUAGCAAUACCUGAUGGCGGCGACCGGCGCAAGGGUGCGUAACGCGUGAGCAACAUGCCCGUAUCAGGGGGAUAAGCGAUGGAAACGUCGUCUAAUACCGCAUAACAACAUGGAGGACAUCCUCCGUGUUUGAAAGAUUCGUCGGAUACGGAUUGGCUCGCGAGGCAUUAGCUAGACGGCGGGGUAACGGCCCACCGUGGCGACGAUGUCUAGGGGUUCUGAGAGGAAGGUCCCCCACACUGGAACUGAGACACGGUCCAGACUCCUACGGGAGGCAGCAGUGAGGAAUAUUGGACAAUGGUCGGAAGACUGAUCCAGCCAUGCCGCGUGAAGGCAGACGGUCCUAUGGAUUGUAAACUUCUUUUGUACGGGAGCAAUAAGGGUGUCGUGACGCCCGAUGAGAGUACCGUACGAAUAAGCAUCGGCUAACUCCGUGCCAGCAGCCGCGGUAAUACGGAGGAUGCGAGCGUUAUCCGGAUUUAUUGGGUUUAAAGGGUGCGUAGGCGGAAAGUUAAGUCAGCGGUGAAACGCAGGUGCUCAACACCUGACCUGCCGUUGAGACUGGUUUUCUGGAAUGCGGAUGCUGUGGGAGGAAUGUGUGGUGUAGCGGUGAAAUGCAUAGAUAUCACACAGAACACCGGUUGCGAAGGCAUCUCACAAAUCCGCGAUUGACGCUGAGGCACGAAGGUGCGGGGAUCGAACAGGGAUUAGAUACCCUGGUAGUCCGCACAGUAAACGAUGAUAACUCGCUGUCGGCGAUAGACAGUCGGUGGCCAAGCGAAAAGCGAUAAAGUUAUCCACCUGGGGGAGUACGACCGCAAGGGUUGAAAACUCAAAAGGAAUUGACGGGGGGCCCGCACAAGCGGGAGGAACAUGUGGUUUAAAUUCGAUGAUACGCGAGGGAACCUUACCCGGGCUCGAACGGCUGGUGA
Molecule: ribosomal RNA, 1022 nt
Filed under: uncultured bacterium
Lineage: Bacteria
Description: bacterial SSU rRNA
Rfam family: Bacterial small subunit ribosomal RNA
Source: RNAcentral